UGGGGAAUCUUGCGCAAUGCGCGAAAGCGUGACGCAGCAACGCCGCGUGCGGGAAGACGGGCCUUCGGGUUGUGAAAUCCGCACUUUCAGUUGGGGACGAAGCCCGUCCGGUUAACAGCCGGCGCGGGUGACGGUACCUUCAGAAGAAGCCCCGGCUAACUACGUGCCAGCAGCCGCGGUAAUACGUAGGGGGCAGCGUUGUCCGGAUCAUUGGGCGUAAAGCGCGUGUAGGCGGCUGGGUAAGUCCGCUCUGAAAGCCCGGGGCUCAACCCCGGGAGGCGGGUGGAUACUGCUCAGCUCGAGUCCGGAAGAGGAGUGUGGAAUUCCUGGUGUAGCGGUGAAAUGCGCAGAUAUCAGGAGGAACACCGAUGGCGAAGGCAGCACUCUGGGACGGUACUGACGCUGAGACGCGAAAGCGUGGGGAGCAAACA
RNAcentral lists this ribosomal RNA (431 nucleotides) under uncultured Solirubrobacterales bacterium. RNAcentral describes it as "bacterial SSU rRNA". It matches the Rfam family "Bacterial small subunit ribosomal RNA", at positions 355 to 774 of the family's 1533-position model. The record is from RNAcentral. Lineage: Bacteria; Bacillati; Actinomycetota; Thermoleophilia; Solirubrobacterales.